GAUGAACGCUGGCGGCAUGCCUAAUACCUGCAAGUCGAGCGCACGGACGCGAAGCUUGCUUCUCUGAUGUUAGCGGCAGACGGGUGAGUAACACGUAGAUAACCUACCUAUAAGACUGGGAUAACUUCGGGAAACCGGAGCUAAUACCGGAUAAUAUUUUGAACCGCAUGGUUCAAAAGUGAAAGACGGUCUUGCUGUCACUUAUAGAUGGAUCCGCGCUGCAUUAGCUAGUUGGUAAGGUAACGGCUUACCAAGGCAACGAUGCAUAGCCGACCUGAGAGGGUGAUCGGCCACACUGGAACUGAGACACGGUCCAGACUCCUACGGGAGGCAGCAGUAGGGAAUCUUCCGCAAUGGGCGAAAGCCUGACGGAGCAACGCCGCGUGAGUGAUGCAGUUCUCCCUUUCGUAACACUCCGCUAUUCGGGUCUAACAUAUGUGUAUGGCUCAGGUGAGAGUUUGACUGCACCGAUGCAGAAAGCCCAGGCCUGGUAUUUG
RNAcentral lists this ribosomal RNA (497 nucleotides) under uncultured bacterium. RNAcentral describes it as "partial 16S ribosomal RNA". It matches the Rfam family "Bacterial small subunit ribosomal RNA", at positions 28 to 507 of the family's 1533-position model. The record is from RNAcentral.